This 180-nucleotide unclassified non-coding RNA is filed under the name uncultured fungus. RNAcentral describes it as "sequence contains ITS1". The record is from RNAcentral. Lineage: Eukaryota; Fungi.
UUAACUUAUUAAAUAAGACGCUCAGAUAUCCAUAGAUAACAAGAGUUUAAUGGUCCACCGACGGGCUACCGGGUAGCUAGCUACAGGGUAGGUCCGCCGAGGCAACAAUGGUAAGUUCACAUGGGUUUGGGAGUUUUUUACGACUCUGUAAUGAUCCCUCCGCUGGUUCACCAACGGAGA